CACGUGAGCCCCAAGCGUUAUCCGGAAUUAUUGGGCGUAAAGGGUGCGUAGGCGGUUGUAUUAGUCGUGUAGUCAAAGUCCAGGGCUUAACCCUGGGUCUGCUACCGAAACGGUACAACUAGAGAUAGUCAGAGGCAUAUGGAACUCAUGGUGUAGGGGUGAAAUCCGUUGAUAUCAUGGGGAACACCAAAGGCGAAGGCAAUAUGCUGGGGCUUUUCUGACGCUGAGGCACGAAACCCUGGGGAGCGAAGCGG
This 254-nucleotide unclassified non-coding RNA is filed under the name uncultured Parcubacteria group bacterium. RNAcentral's name for it is "contains 16S-23S intergenic spacer region". It matches the Rfam family "Bacterial small subunit ribosomal RNA", at positions 524 to 776 of the family's 1533-position model. The record is from RNAcentral.